CUCCGUGUAGGCCGCAGUGAAGCCUGAACUCGAGUAGGGCCCAAGCCAGCCAGGAAGGAGGAGGCAGCCAGAGUGUUCUCUGCAGUAGAAGACCCUUUGCUGCCCUGCUCAACCCAGACCAGCAUUUGCCAGGCAGCACCCAAAUCCUUUCAGGUCUACAUUGGAUCUACAGAGAACAAGUAGAAACCUGGAAUCUCAACAACAAAAGGGCUGAACUCAAGCAAUUUGGGAAGACGUUACAGAGAAAUCAAACAGGUUUGAUAUGCAUAUCCUAUGGAACCAACCUUAGAAAAUUAAAAGAUAAUCAUCAAUAAAGAUAUAUCUCCAUGGACCAAUCUCACCCAUCCAAGUGCUGACAGCCAUUUCCUCCACUCACUGAUUAAAUUCACAUUGAAGACCAGAGCUUCAUGAUUAGAUUAAUCCUGAAGGUCAAGCUUCAUACUCAUAGUGAUCUCCACCUUUGGGCUAUUCAGAUUAUAUGAAUUCCACCCCCACCCCAAACAACAGCUUGGCUACUAAAAACAUCAACACUGAGAUUAGAAUUCUAGAAGAUGGAAGCACUCUAAAAUUUGACCCCGAAAGCUCAGUCCUUAGGACAUUAAAAACCCUCUUAGAAGCAGAACCUUUUACAGUUCAUGGAUUAAGGAUUCACCAAGCUUCACGCCAUUCUGUUUCCAAGGAUUGUGGUUGCUCACCUCUCACUAACACAACCACCUCACAGGGAAAGCACAGAGAAAGAGAGAGCCCAUUCUGUGAAUGAGUCCUGGAGAGUCCCAAGACAGAGAACCUCUGAGCUGAAAUCACUAUUUUUGGGGCCCCUCAAUUCCUAGCAAGCUAAGGACCUAGCUGCCUGGAAAUUCCCUGUGCCAAUUGAAUCUCCCAUCUCACUGCUCCAGCACAGGGCAAAGCUGCAAGACAGGUAGCUAUUGAACUCUUUCUCCAUUCCCAUCUUUUCUCUCUCUCACACUCCCAUUUCCUAGUGCCCAUAACCGUAUCUCCUGUCCUUCAGUGCUAACCCGUAAAUGUGAAUUAGGGGCAACUCUAAUUAACCCCCUAAGGGAGGAUUAGCAAAUCUGCUAAGGUGCUAACCACUGCUUUUUACUUGUAAAUAUCUGUUCUUUAAUAAAUCACAGCUUUGCUUUUAAGAAACUGGUGUGCACCCUAUUGUGCCCUUCUGAAUACUCUAACUUGGGCGUAUCCUAUCUAUGGUCAAAUUUCCCAGUACCUCAGUGUAUAAUUUGGCUGUGUGCAAGUUUUCACUAAACUGAGUUAAAUUAAGCCAACAUUAAGCCAAAGCAUAGUCAUGAAGGGUGAUAACUACCACACUUCAGAGCAAAUCUGGUAAUAGAUUUAUUUGUGGAGAAGGUUUAUGCAACUGUAAACUGGUAACCGUGUAUGUACAUUCUUCUCCUGCAGUGAGACUCUGAGGGUUUUGUGGGUCUAACCCUGCCGCUGUAGAGGGUAGAGGUCACAGCAGUUGUCAGCAGUGCAGUGUUCAGGUGGAUGGACCCAGUAAGCUGAUUUGGGGGAUCUUUUGUGGGCCACCUAAUGGUGCAGUGGAGAAGCAACCUGCAUAGAGAGCAGGACACUGUUGGUUCGAAUCCCCGCUGGUGUGUUUCCGAGAAUAUGGGAAACCCCUAUAUUGGCAGAAGCGAUAGAGAAAGGUGCUGAAAGUCAUCAUCUCAUAUUGCACGGGAGAAGCCAAUGGUAAAUUACUCCUGUAUUCUACCAAGAAAACUACAUGGGUCUGUGGUCACCAGGAGUCGACACUGACUCGAUGGCACAAUCUUUCUUUUCCUUUUUUGUGAAAUAGCAGAAGAACGCAAUUUCAAGCAUCCCUGUAACUUUGCGCAUCCAUCUGAUGUUCUUGCACUCGCCCAACUUUGUUCAUUGGGCAAGUGUUUCAUUACUCUGGCUAUCAGCCAGACUCUGUAAAUAUGACUAAACCUCCAGAAAUAUGGUUUUGUAGUUCUGAAUUUUGUUUGAUUGCUGGUCAUAUCUACUGUAUCUUAUAUGCCAUGAUUAAUUUUUAAAUAUACAUGGCUUUAUUUUAACAAAGACAUAAAUUGAUUUA
This is a long non-coding RNA of Hemicordylus capensis (graceful crag lizard), 2074 nucleotides long. RefSeq lists it as uncharacterized. The record is from RefSeq and is a predicted model, not a curated record. The transcript is spliced from 3 exons. Lineage: Eukaryota; Metazoa; Chordata; Lepidosauria; Squamata; Cordylidae.